RNAcentral lists this ribosomal RNA (357 nucleotides) under Triticum aestivum (bread wheat). RNAcentral describes it as "partial small subunit ribosomal RNA". The record is from RNAcentral. Lineage: Eukaryota; Viridiplantae; Streptophyta; Magnoliopsida; Poales; Poaceae.
AUGGAGCACGCCAUGGGAGUUCCCCAUCCACCAUGGUCGCCGUCGUCAAGGGCUUCUUCAAGGAGAUGUGAAGGACGCCAUGGACCUGCAGCUACUCAAGGUUUUAUUCCACCUUUCCUCUUAUAUCAAGUUCUAACAAUACAUUGGGGGAGUGGGGGCGGAGAAGGCACCCCACCUGAAUUUUCAUUUCUCAAGCCUCAAGCGGCGACAGUACCCGGUAACACGAGUACAGGGAGUGUUUUUUACUGGUUACGUCCAAAGUGGAGAGCUAAGAACAACAACCUCAAGGAAACUAUACACAGAGAGCUAGGAGGAUUGGUUUCCAGUCCAGGAGUGAGCUCCUGUCUUUUGAUUUGA